Molecule: long non-coding RNA, 1155 nt
Organism: Cornus florida
Lineage: Eukaryota; Viridiplantae; Streptophyta; Magnoliopsida; Cornales; Cornaceae
Exons: 3
Source: RefSeq, a predicted model, not a curated record
UCAGCCGUUGGAUAUCAUCCAACGGCCCAUAUAUCCACACUAAGAACGGGACUCUUACAGAGUCGCCUUGAGUACAUAUUAUAUUGUGUGUGUCUAAGUCGUAGAAUUCAUCGAUUUUCUUUCUGUAUCGCUCAAUCAAUCGGUCGAUCACUCGCGUCUGUGAUUUUCCGGAGUAGCUAAUUUUUGGUGGGCUGAUAGAGGGGGACAAAUCGUGAGAAACAAUUCGGAGAAAAGUUAAGUACCAUUACAACUUCAUUCGCAAAUUGAAAUGCUCGCAAUUUCACUCACUACUUGCAGAAAAGCUACUUUUCUGAGUGACUUGAUGUGGCGGUGAUGUCUAUCACUUGAACCUCUAUCCAAAAGAAACCAAUGGAUUGCGAGGGUUGGUUCUUCUUGAUUAUGUGAUUUACGCCUUUCAUAAGAGCAACGGCUACGCUUUUCAUGGUUCUGCAACCAGCAACUUCCUUCUCCUUGCACGCCGCUGCUUUUUUCUCAAGACUUACUGUCUAAGCAACUUCCUGAUGUAGAAAUAAAAACAAUUUACGGAAAAAGGCACAGAUCAACAACCUGAGGUUGUUCAUAAAAUUUAAGGAAGUUCGAGACCAACACAUUUUCUUGAAGGUGCAGAUGAUGAGAAACUCCAGAUAAAGAGUCUGUUUCCACGGAUAAUCCAAGCAUGAGAGGCUCCUUUGUUGAUUCCACCUGAGAGACAGAUUGCCCCUAUUAAAUGAAGAAGAUAUGUUAACUCUGGAAUACUGGCCUUCAAAGAAAUUGAGAAUGAAUCAGUAUAAAGCAGAGCCUAUUACCCAGGAACACGUUUUUUUCACGAGAAGGACUUGCUCAUUGCGUACCACUUGGGGAAACUAUCAAAUGGAUAUGGGCCGAGUUAGACCUACAUUAUCUAGAUUCUCAAUUCUCAUGACUAGGGGAAUUCCGGCAAGAAUAAGAAUAGAUGAUAGAAAAAAUCAGUCAACACAAAUAUAAUACAAAUGAAACUUGAAAUUAUCCAUGAAAUUCUUCCAUUUGGCAAGUAAAAGCCGAGUUAGUUUUUUGUUUUAUUCUCUCUGACAUGGGGAUGACUCUUCUUUUCUACCUGAUGCAAACAGCUAAGGAAUUAUCAUUGUUAUAAAAUAAAGUCUCUCAUUGAACGACCUU